RNAcentral lists this ribosomal RNA (451 nucleotides) under Staphylococcus hominis. Its description in RNAcentral is "bacterial SSU rRNA". It matches the Rfam family "Bacterial small subunit ribosomal RNA", at positions 260 to 703 of the family's 1533-position model. The record is from RNAcentral. Lineage: Bacteria; Bacillati; Bacillota; Bacilli; Caryophanales; Staphylococcaceae.
ACGGCUUACCAAGGCAACGAUACGUAGCCGACCUGAGAGGGUGAUCGGCCACACUGGAACUGAGACACGGUCCAGACUCCUACGGGAGGCAGCAGUAGGGAAUCUUCCGCAAUGGGCGAAAGCCUGACGGAGCAACGCCGCGUGAGUGAUGAAGGUCUUCGGAUCGUAAAACUCUGUUAUUAGGGAAGAACAAACGUGUAAGUAACUGUGCACGUCUUGACGGUACCUAAUCAGAAAGCCACGGCUAACUACGUGCCAGCAGCCGCGGUAAUACGUAGGUGGCAAGCGUUAUCCGGAAUUAUUGGGCGUAAAGCGCGCGUAGGCGGUUUUUUAAGUCUGAUGUGAAAGCCCACGGCUCAACCGUGGAGGGUCAUUGGAAACUGGAAAACUUGAGUGCAGAAGAGGAAAGUGGAAUUCCAUGUGUAGCGGUGAAAUGCGCAGAGAUAUGGAG